GUAAUGCCUGGGAAAUUGCCCUGAUGUGGGGGAUAACCAUUGGAAACGAUGGCUAAUACCGCAUAAUGCCUUCGGGCCAAAGAGGGGGACCUUCGGGCCUCUCGCGUCAGGAUAUGCCCAGGUGGGAUUAGCUAGUUGGUGAGGUAAGGGCUCACCAAGGCGACGAUCCCUAGCUGGUCUGAGAGGAUGAUCAGCCACACUGGAACUGAGACACGGUCCAGACUCCUACGGGAGGCAGCAGUGGGGAAUAUUGCACAAUGGGCGCAAGCCUGAUGCAGCCAUGCCGCGUGUAUGAAGAAGGCCUUCGGGUUGUAAAGUACUUUCAGUCGUGAGGAAGGUAGUGUAGUUAAUAGCUGCAUUGCUUGACGUUAGCGACAGAAGAAGCACCGGCUAACUCCGUGCCAGCAGCCGCGGUAAUACGGAGGGUGCGAGCGUUAAUCGGAAUUACUGGGCGUAAAGCGCAUGCAGGUGGUUUGUUAAGUCAGAUGU
Molecule: ribosomal RNA, 489 nt
Filed under: Vibrio sp.
Lineage: Bacteria; Pseudomonadati; Pseudomonadota; Gammaproteobacteria; Vibrionales; Vibrionaceae
Description: bacterial SSU rRNA
Rfam family: Bacterial small subunit ribosomal RNA
Source: RNAcentral